CACCUCACCUAACUAGUUUUCUACUUUGCACUUUGCUAUGUCUGAUGACCUGCAACUGUACGUAAGUGAAAUUACCCAUGAGUCAGUAUGCUGCGGUAGCUUUGGAUGUGGAACACUAGGACUGGACUGUUGAUACCGUAAUGGCACAUUUGGUGUAGAGGCAAGCAGAAUCCAGGGAAAACUUUAGGGAACAGGCAAAGACGUACCAAACCAUAGCUGACCCACAGAACACACAUAUAUACCAAACCACAGCUCACAUAUUUAUUAUGUAUAUAUAUAUAUAUAUGUGUGUGUGUGUGUGUGCGCAUAUCUGUGACACACAUGCUAUGCAAAUCAUCUCUCUCUUAGACACACACUUGCACACAUGUGCCCAUGCACACAUAUAUAUGCAUAUAUAGGUCUUGUGUGAUGUGUUAACACCCGUGUGAGCAUAUAUAUACCAAACAUUGCUGGCACGUGUGUUUGCUUGUGUGCAUUUCAGCUAUGGUUUGCUAUACAUAUGUGUGUAUUUGAGCUAUGGUUUGGAUUUAGGUGGAGGAUGUAUAACUUGGGCUGCUAUCUAGAAAGGCCGACUUAAAGCCAAAAGCAGGCAUCAGCGAGUGGACAAGCACAGUAAAAUAAGUUCCACAUGAUGACAACAGCGCUGACAUGCUGCCUCAUUUUCUUUACUGGGACCUAAUUGUGCUUUCCCUUCAUCUUUGCCCUAGUUUGUCUUUUGAUGCUUGUUGUAUUCAUUUAAGAAGAAACAUGCCUAACUUCCGUAUGAAACAUUAGUUCCUUUGCCUACCAAGCACAAGGGUGGUGGCUGACAA
Molecule: long non-coding RNA, 812 nt
Organism: Vitis riparia (riverbank grape)
Lineage: Eukaryota; Viridiplantae; Streptophyta; Magnoliopsida; Vitales; Vitaceae
Exons: 2
Source: RefSeq, a predicted model, not a curated record